Ananas comosus (pineapple) is the source of this 2352-nucleotide RNA transcript. It is a transcript of the gene named formin-like protein 7, with no coding region annotated. The transcript has 6 exons. The record is from RefSeq and is a predicted model, not a curated record. Lineage: Eukaryota; Viridiplantae; Streptophyta; Magnoliopsida; Poales; Bromeliaceae.
UUUCAGAUUCCCCUUUCUGUUGGCUAACUAUAGUUUACAUAGACAUACUUGUCAAGGAAAUAUCUUCUUUAAGACCUAUUGAUAUUUCACCAAACAAAAGAGAAAAACCUUCUCGUUGUUUGUACGCUUUUUUGAUAUGAUUAUCUUUUCUGUUGCAAGAUUGUGCUUUUUUGAAAGGUUAUAUCUAUCUCUUUCAUUGCAAAAUUAUCUGUGUAGCAAAAAGGCAUAUAGAAUUUGUCAGAUUGCAUCGUAGAAUUGUGUAUCAAGUUGGUUUUAUGCAUUAUCUCUCAUUUUCACUUGCAGGAAGAAUCACUAGCUUGUUUUGAGAUCAUGGGCAUACUAAUUUUUUUUACUCAAUAAUAGUAAUCUGAAAGUCCAGUAGGAUCUUGUUUCAUUUAUAUUACUUCAUUGAGCAAGUGGUUACAGGCAUCAUCUCCCAAUUUCACUUGCAGAAAGAACUCCUAGCUUGUUAGUCUCUUAUUGUUCAGGUCAUGGGCAUAAUUUGUUUUUUUACCCAAUAAUAGUAAUCUGAAAGUCCAGUUGGACCUUGUUUCAUUGAUACUAUGUUGAGCAAGUUGGUUACAUGCAUCAUCUCCCAAUUUCGCAUGCAGGAAGUAAUCCUAGCUUGUUUGUCUCUUAAUGCUUAGAUCAUGGCCAUACUUUGUUUUGUUUUGUUUUUUACCCAGUAAUAGUAAUCUGAUUGAAAGUCCAGCAGGAUCUUGUAAUUGCAUGAUGUAUUGGUGGAUUUGGGUAUUUGAAUUGGAUCGCUUUAGGAUUAGGGUUUUGUAUUUGUUGCGGGAAAUCCAUUUCCUUAUUCAAUUAUCAUCUUUCUAUAUCCCAUCAUUGUAGACUUAGGGUUUAAAUUUCAUUUAUCAAGUACUUUAUUGCGAUUUUUAUUUUUCCAGUUAUACGAUAAUUAGCAUGUUUUUUAUCAAGGUUUUAGAUAUCUUAUUUGAUUUGAUCCUGUACGAAUGCCCUGGGUACACCUAUUCUAAAGCAGCAGCUGUUUUUUCUUUUAAUUUAUCUUUUCCAUUAUUGCUGCUUAACAUAGUACUUAGCAACUUUAGUAGAUUCCCUUUAUGUAAUGCUUAUUCAAUUGAUUUAGAUGGCUCUGUGUUUGUUUCUAACUACAAAUUCUAUCUUGGCAUUCCCUUUUUUAUUGCUGGUACUUUGUAUUAUCUUCAGAAGAUAAGUAGAGAGGCUCACUCAAGGAAUGUGUAUAUAUUUUAACACGGCACCGUUCCUAAGACUUAUGGUGAUGCAUGGGGGUGCAUUUGGUUCGCGAAUUGUAAUCACAAUGAGCCUGAAUGGAACUGGAAUGACUUCAUCCCUGUGUGCAUUUCCCUUGACAAGUGGAAUUGCAAAUGACGUUGAAACUUGAACUCUGAUUUUCUUGAAGGAUUGAUAAGCUCGUUAAUUGAUUGGCUACAAUAUGUGAUUUUAUUAUUGCCAUGGGGGUCGUUGUGAUCUAAUGGUGUAUUUUGGCCUCUUCUUUUUUGCAAUUAGUAGCUUUCCUUUGUUUAAAUGCGUUUUUAUUUGAAGGUUAUUUCAUAGAAUAUGCAGCUUUCUGACAACUUGAUUUGGUGCACCUGAAAUAUUUGCUGUUCCUUUUGGCCUUAAUUGGUUUAUGACGUAGCAUUCUUUCGCUUAUUGUAUAUUAUACACUAUAAAGCUUGUUAAUAAUUUAGCUUCUCUAUAAAACUUAUUAAAUUUCACUGCAGACUUCAUUGCUUGCCCUCGAUGAUUCCAUUUUGGAUGCCGAUCAGGUAGAAAAUCUUAUUAAAUUUUGUCCAACAAAGGAGGAAAUGGAUCUACUCAAGCUUGACAGGUUUCUGUUGAAGUUUCAGGGGUAUGAUGGUGUCAUGGUGAUAAAGAAAACUUGGGGAAAUGUGAGCAGAGUUGAUGAAAGUACCAAGGGUGGAGUCCAAAUUGAGAGUCUUAUCCUUUAUGAUUCAAUUCCGAUCUCAGGUUGGUGAACUCAAAAAUAGCUUGAAUGCCAUUAACUCUGCAUCAGAAGAGGUCAGAAGCUCUGUGAAGUUGAAAAGAAUUAUGCAGACCAUUCUCUCUCUAGGAAAUGCUUUAAACCAGGAAAAACUAGGGAUUUAAGCAACAAGCAGGAUUUGACGUUCGCAUUUCAAGAAUGUUUAGCUCGAGCUUUUCACUUUUCUUUUUCUUAGCUUUCUAAUAUUUGGGGUUCAAAUAAAUUUUCUAUUGCAUUGAUUUCUAUUAGAACAUAAACACUUGUUUUGUUGCAUUUUAUCUCUGCUCUAGAUCAUUGCUUAUAGUUUUGUUUCAAGAAUGAUUGUAUUAUUUUAUUGCAAUUUAGUAAUAUGGCUCUUUUUUUUUCGGAUA